RNA transcript from Oncorhynchus kisutch (coho salmon), 3916 nucleotides. It is a transcript of the gene named tripartite motif-containing protein 16-like, with no coding region annotated. The record is from RefSeq and is a predicted model, not a curated record. The transcript is spliced from 5 exons. Lineage: Eukaryota; Metazoa; Chordata; Actinopteri; Salmoniformes; Salmonidae.
ACAACAGGUGUUUUUACCUUAUACCUUUUACCUUAAAGUAACAAGUAAUUAAAGAGCAGCAGUAACAAUAGUGAGACUAAAAACAGACUAUAUACAGAUGGGAACCGGUACAGAGUCAAUGCACGGGGUCAUCGGUUAGUUGAGUUCAUAUCAAGACUUGUAUGUGUUGUGAUAUUGUUGUCAGGAUGUUGAAGAGAGGGAAAGAUUGAAGUGUCAUUGGGGUUGGACGGGGUUGGGGGAGUUUGGAAGGGAUUUGGGGGAUGGGGAGGGUCUAUUAGAAGUUAGUAGGACUCUUUUAUUUUCUCAGAAGUACUGAGUUAGGUAGGAGGAUUUAGAGUGGUGUAAACCAUGAUUGAACACACUCCAGAACAGUAGGUGGCGCCAUGCACCUUUAACGUUGGUUUGAGGACCUCCAUUAUAUCAUAGAAGAAGAAGUUGGUCUGUGAGGGUUUUGUUGUUCCUGAGGAGGGCUACUAUUCUUUUCUCUUUUGGUUUUCAAGUAUUUUCAGAAUUUAUUAAAGCCAAAGCUAAAGCUUCCCUAAACAAUUCAAUAUAUCAGUCAAUAUAUGUUCUCUGUGAUUUAUUUUCUCUCCGUCAACCGUUCCAUCGCAUCUUAACCGUCUUACCGGGCGGGCACUAGGACCCGGGGGAGGCUGCUGCUGCAGAGGCUGCUGCACCGCUCGUGACUGUCAGUCCUCCUUGUAGCUCAUUGGUUAAGCUGUGGCUCGAGCCUGUUAACAGUUAACGGACAGGAAACGGCUCUGACAGGACACAUUCAUGUGGAGGCAGUGAUGUGAAUGUGUGGUAAGUUACAAUAGAGAGAGAGAGUUUUCACUACUAUAGACUUUGGUCAUAAUCAAAGCUUUGUUAACCAAUAGGUUUUUAUGUGAGGCUGCCUGUAAGUUACAGUGUAACAGACGUUACUAAGGGUAACGGUGUCUUUUAAAUUCGACAUAAGUUAUGUGGCGAUGAUAUCUAGUUAACGUUGUAUUUAAUGUAGUGUAAUGACCUGACUAGAUCAUAAAGGAACAAUUGUCCAGACAGAGGAUUGAGUUACGAAUUGACGGUUUAUUAGCAACUUUACACAGGCUACUGUUUGGCCUUAGCUCACGCCAAAUAAAUGAAAGAUACCCCACAAGCCAAUCGGGACCUUCUCUUGUGAAGCCCAGACGGAAGAGAGAGAACAAAGGCUGAACCUUAACUUCCAAUGCCCCGCCCCCUCCACGCCACUCCGCCAACCACCAGGAUGCCCGGCAUCAGAACAUCCCAGGCAUUCCUGUGAUUGGCAGAUAGCAGGUUGAUUGGCAUGUCGGACCCCGCGAACACUGGGAACUGGAGGGAGGAGAGUAGAGCAGGACCAAGAGGUGUUCUGUACCUGUCUGUCCAGGAGGGAGGAGAGUAGAGCAGGACCAAGAGGUGUUCUCUACCUGUCUGUCCAGGAGGGAGGAGAGUAGAGCAGGACCAAGAGGUGUUCUGUACCUGUCUGUCCAGGAGGGAGGAGAGUAGAGCAGGACCAAGAGGUGUUCUGUACCUGUCUGUCCAGGAGGGAGGAGAGUAGAGCAGGACCAAGAGGUGUUCUGUACCAGUCUGUCCACAAGGGAGGACAAGGCCUGGUGUACCUGGAGAGCAGGGUGGCAGAGUUCUGACUCAAUGAGGUGCAGAGAGGAACCUACUCUCUCUCUCACUCUGUCUGUUCCUCUCCCUCUUUCUCUCCAGAGUUAUCAGUCUCUCUGCCUGCUGGACCUGGAGAGCAGGGUUCUGACUCAAUACUACUGAACCUCUCUCUCUCUGUCUCUCUGUCUCUCUCUCUGUCUCUCUGUCUCUCUCUCUCUCUCUCUCUCUGUCUCCAGCGCUCUGCACAGUCAGCAGUGGAGGACAGUGAUCAGAUCUUUACUGAGCUGAUCCGCUCCAUUGAGAGAAGGAGCUCUGAGGUGAAGGAGCUGAUCAGAGCCCAAGAGAAGGCUCAAGUGAGUCAAGCUGAAGGACUCCUGGAGCAACUGAAGCAGGAGAUAGCUGAGCUGAGGAAGAGAAGCACUGAGCUGGAGCAGCUCUCACACACAGAGGAUCACAUCCAUUUCCUCCAGAGGUAUCAGUCUCUCUCCAGUAUCAGUAUAUCUUCAGACUUACCCAGCAUCGUUGUCCGUCCUCUUCAGUACUUUGGAGAUGUGAGUAAGACUGUGUCUGAACUGAGAGAGAAACUAGAAGACUUCCUUAAAGGAGAAUGGACCAAGAUCUCCACUACAGUGAAUAUAGUGGAUGUUGUACUGCCUCCAGAGCCCAAGACCAGAGAACAGUUGUUACAAUAUUCCUGUCAGCUCACACUGGACCCAAACACAGCACAGACACACCUCUCUCUGUCUGAAGGGAACAGAAAGGUGACACUUACAGGCCAAGUCCAACCAUAUCCUGACCAUCCAGACAGAUUCACCUACUGGUACCAGGUUCUGUGUAGAGAGGGUCUGUCUGGACGCUGUUACUGGGAGGUGGAGAGGACUGGUGUUGUUUAUACAGCAGUCUCAUAUAAAGACAUCAGCAGAACAGGGACAGAUGGUGGAUUUGGAUACAAUAACAAGUCCUGGAGUUUACUGUGCUCUAGUGGUGAUUAUUGGUUCAGACACAAUAAUGUUGAGACUGAAGUAUCAGGCCCUCUGUCCUCCAGAGUAGGAGUGUACCUGGAUCACAAGGCAGGUACUCUGUCCUUCUACAGUGUCUCUGACACAAUGACCCUCCUCCACAGAGUCCAGACCACAUUCACUCAGCCCCUCUAUCCUGGGUUUAGUCUCUAUCUAGGAGGUACUGCUGAGCUGGUUAAACUGUAGUAGGGUCCACAUAGAUACUAGUCAUGCUGGUGUAGUCUAUAGCUGAGCUGGUUAAACUGUUGUAGGGUCCACAUAGAUACUAGUCAUGCUGGUGUAGUCUAUAGCUGAGCUGGUUAAACUGUAGUAGGGUCCACAUAGAUACUAGUCAUGCUGGUGUAGUCUAUAGCUGAGCUGGUUAAACUAUAGUAGGGUCCACAUAGAUACUAGUCAUGCUGGUGUAGUCUAUAGCUGAGCUGGUUAAACUGUUGUAGGGUCCACAUAGAUACUAGUCAUGCUGGUGUAGUCUAUAGCUGAGCUGGUUAAACUGUAGUAGGGUCCACAUAGAUACUAGUCAUGCUGGUGUAGUCUAUAGCUGAGCUGGUAUAACUGUAGUAGGGUCCACAUAGAUACUAGUCAUGCUGGUGUAGUCUAUAGCUGAGCUGGUUAAACUGUAAACUGAUUUGUUAUUAAUUAAAAUUCAAUACAAUGUUUUAAUCUUGUACAUUUCCAUGAAUCAUGAUGUCUGGUGUUGAUGUAUAUUGGUUGUCAUUCAGAACCAUUGAUAUGUUUUCUCAGUUGGUUCUCUGUCUCUAUGUAAUUCUCCUCAGUAUCAUUGAUCAGCUUGUUGGCUCGGUCCUAAUUGAUGUGUUCUCUGUCACCUGGAGCUGCAUGGAAAAUGGUCCAGGAACUAAAGGACAAUUCAGGACUAGUCAGCCCACUACAAGCUGGUAUCACUUACUUUCUACUAAACUAUAUGGUCUGGUUUCCCAGGCACAGAUUAAUCCUAGUCCUGUACUAAACAGUAUGUUCAAUGUAGAUGUCCAGGAAACCGGCCCUAAAUGUGUCAUCUUUCAUCCUCCCAUACUGCUCAGUCCAGCAACAUUAAACCUGUCCAGCAGGUGGUGCUGUUGACCAAACAAUAAAACCAGCAGAUAUCUUGACUUGCCACUCAGUAUAUCAGUAAUGUUCAGAAUAGUACUUUAAUAUCAUUGGAGAUUGAUGGUCUUUUUAAUCCACUAUCCAGAGUCAGGAACAGAUGAAGUUAGGUCUGCUACUGUUCAGUGAUUAAAUAUGAUUUAUGGUGAUGGGAAAUAAUAAAAAACACUCAACUUCAUCUA